UCAUCGUUAACUAGCCCGGCUCGCCUUGGCGGGUCGCCGGCUUCUUAGCGAGACUUUUGGCUUAAGCCAAAGGAAGUUGGAGGCAAUAACAGGUCUGUGAUGCCCUUAGAUGUUCUGGGCUGCACGCGCGCUACACUGACAGAGGCAACGAGUUUUUUUCCUUGGCCGGAAGGUCUGGGUAAUCUUGGUAAACUCUGUCGUGCUGGGGAUAGAGCAUUGCAAUUAUUGCUCUUCAACGAGGAAUGCCUAGUAAGCGCGUGUCAUCAGCAUGCGUUGAUUACGUCCCUGCCCUUUGUACACACCGCCCGUCGCU
RNAcentral lists this ribosomal RNA (313 nucleotides) under uncultured fungus. RNAcentral describes it as "SSU rRNA". It matches the Rfam family "Eukaryotic small subunit ribosomal RNA", at positions 1344 to 1680 of the family's 1831-position model. The record is from RNAcentral. Lineage: Eukaryota; Fungi.